GCACUCCAACCUGGGGACAGAGCGAGACUCUGUCUCAAAAAAUAUAUAAAUAAGUUCAGUUCAGUUCUAACUGCAAUUCCUGAACUACUUUUGCUGGGCCUGCAGGAAUUAAUGGAGCACACCAGCUUUUUAUCCUUAAACCAAUCUUGGAUUUUAGCCUCCCUGGUAUUUUAAGUGUGUUGAAUACACUCUCACAAAUAGAAUUUGAGUCAUAUUUCUCUCUCUCUGCCUAACUUCUCCAAUAUUUGUAAAGUAUUCAUGAAUAUUCUUAAUUCAUGUGUUCGUUUGCAUACAUUUAAGCAGGGUCACCAGGGUCGCUCAGGGAGAGAACGCAGAGGCCUGGCAUGCAGGCGCAAGAGUAAGAAUUUCUUACCAGUCAGUCUUGGGCCUCUUUCUCUCUAUGCAAACUGGUGAAUCUCCUCUGUGAAGUGAGACCAUCACACUUAUGAUGGUGCAACAAAGGUUCCAGCCAGUUCCAGGUGAAGACACCACCACUGGCCAUCAGAAAGCUACCCUGCCUCCACUAGUUGGAGCAGGGCGAGAGUUCCAUGAUCCCCAGUAGGUGGGGACUACACCUGGAGCCAGCAUGAAGCAGUUACAGAAAAAAGACCAUCGGUCCUUCUGCCUCCCACAAAGAUUUAUGGGGAUCACGUCUCUCAGAGGGGAGAUGAGGCAGUAAAAUAGGGUGUGGAGGCAGGAAACAUAAGGCCGAUUCAUACUUCAGCUAUGACAGGAAAUAUCCUCUCUAUAGAGCAUACGCCGAGUAAAUGACUUUGUAACUUUACUUCAUCCUCUUCAUUUACAUAGGGCGUACCCCAAGUAGAGGGUAUUUAAACUCACAAAAACUCUGUAACAGGGCCUUCGAGCCCCUAUGCUUGGGCCCGCUCCCACAUUGUGGAGUGUACUUUCAUUUUCAAUAAAUCUCUUCGUCCCUUCCUUGCUUUGUUUGUGUGUUUUGUCUGAUUCUUCAAGACGCCAAGAACCUGGACACCCACUACCGUUAACAAUUUUAGAGCCGAAUCCUCCAGCAGGGACUGUAAAAGAUUGGAUGCUGUAUGCAUGAUACAAACCCUUCACUCUUCAGGAAGAAGCUGGGAGUUGAGGAUUCAUUCCUGAUUGUAAGGAGCUAUGCUGAAGAUGGGAUUUGUGGAUGAGUACAUGUCCACUCUUCCUGCCUGUUUCAAUGUGGAUAUUUUUCUCAGUUGUUUGGUGUUCAGGAGUCUUUCAACUAGUUUCUGGCUUUCUCCUGGAGGGAACUGAUCCAUGUGUUUAUUUGGUGCAUCUGUGGGAGGAGGGGUAGCCAGGAGCAACUAUUUCUUCAUGUUGCUGAUGCCACUUUCCAGAAUUUUGUUUUGAGCAAGUGGCUUGAAGUAAGAGAAUACGGUAAAUGAUUUUUAAGGUCUUAAUCUCCUUAAGUUAAGGAGACUGUUUUAGCAAAUAUGUUUUGGAGCAGAUAUCUGUCUAGAAUCGCUAGCACCUAGAGACAGAGACACUAACCAGAAGAUGUUCCUGAAAUACAGGUGGCAAAGAUUUAAUCCAGGCAGGUGGUUUUCAAAAAUAACAAUAAGGGCUAAGUCCAAGAAUUGGCAUAGUUUAUACAUAACCAUAAUGUUUAUAUUUAUUUUUCUCCAAAUAAGGCAUUUCACUGCAUAAUAUGUAGCUAUGCUUUUUGAGUAAGAGGAAAUACAUAUUAAACAUUUCUAAAGCAUCUGGAAAAAUACCCCUUUCCCCCAUCUGUUCUAGACAGUUAAACCUACUUUGGACCAGCUGAAUUUUCCACAAUAGUUUCUUUGGAUAUUAAAAUGACUGAAUUCUCCAAGCAGAAAAUGAAAAUCCUGAAAUAGAGACGGAAUAACAAGUAUUACUUCUGUUCAAUCAAAUAUAAAAUUUAAGUGCACAAUUAAACUCCUUCUGUUUAUGUGCUUUAACAUUUAAAUCUUCUUACCCCAUGCAAUAACUGAAACUACCUGAUGGAAAAUAACCAAUCUGAGACUGAAUAAAAUGAAUCUAGUGGUCUCAGGGACGAGCACAGUUAGUCAACUAGUGUUAGUAAAAUCCAUUUUUAUGUCUAAUUUUGAUUGCAAGUCAUUAGGUCAGCACUGAGUUUAAGAAUGUGGCCCAAGAGAAAAGCUGAAACAUCAUGUUCUCACUCUUUGCAACUUUAGCCCCAUCUGGUUGAAAAUUUCUGCGGUGGUUCCCAGAACAGCUUUUAGAUAACACUGAGGCAUUUGAAAGGAGCUUUCUAAGGACCAAAUAAUCUUCAAAAAUUUCAAAAGAAAAACCAAAUGCUCUUCUAAGCUUUUGCUACUCAAGAUGCUUAUUGUGGGCCGAUCGUAUCGACAUGUCCUGGGACUUGUCAGACUUGCAGAAUCUCAGGCCCCACCCAGGCUUACUGAAUCAGAAAGUUCUUUUUCACAAGAUCCCCAGGUGAUUUAGAUUAAAAGUUGGACCUAUUAAGUCUUGUUUUAAGCUCUUUGAACAGGUUUUGGUUGGGGGUGAGAGAGUUCCAUGUUUUAAGAGAUAAGUGCUGAUUCUUUGGGAGGAGAUUUUCAUUGCAGCUAUGCAACUGAACAGCUCACUGGGAAAAUGCAGAAAAGGAAAGAGCCUCUUUAAGAUCACAGCCUCUGGUGGCAACCAUGCUCAGAGGACUAACCCAUUCUGUGGUACAGUGGAGUUUCUUCACGCCUUUAGGUCACUUAUCAAGUUUAAAUGAAACCUGCCUAUUUCUGCAUCAGGCAGGAGCUAUUAAUGCUUUCUCCACAGAUUUGCAAACCCAUGUGUUUGUCGUUAUGCAUUUAAGGAUUAGCAGCCAUCUUCAAGGGGCUAAUCCUUCAGCGCCUGAUCAGACAAGAGAAAAUAAUUAGACCUACAAAUAGCCUGACUUUUUAAUUGCACAAAAAACAUUUCCCUCCUCCCACAGGAGGACACAGAUCAUUCCAUAAUCCAAGACAUGGAGAGAUGCUAACUGAGAUGCGUGACAGGGUCCAAAUUCAGUCUUUUUCCAAUUUUUCAAAGUGCAAUUCUGGCCCAAACCUCUGCACAAGCAUAGAACCCUGCCAGUUACAUCUUGUGCAGUAUGAGGAAAUCCUUUCCAUUUUAGUCUCUGGCAGUCAGGACCCCUCUAUUUUGUUUUGAGAUUGAUUUUCUAGCUAAAACUUUGUACUUUUUGUCCCCAAAGAUCUUCAUGGGCAGAACAGACAGAGCUGGAUGGGGUGGAUGAGGAGAGGGCCAGGUGGACAAAUGGCUUCAUGCUGAGGAUGCAGCACAGGAAUGGGCUUGUGGAGAAGGCUCUUUCCUUCAUUUCUCUUCUUGGAUCUCUUCUAUCACAAGGGAUAUGUCAACCCUUCAUGCUCUCACCAUUAUAAUAGUAACUUUCGUGAUCUAAUUUAGUUAGCUCAUCAGUGUGAUUCCAUUCACAAAUGACUACCUAAAAUGAUAUCUAAAUUUCAAAUAAUAAUUGUAAUUUAACCGUCACUUUAACUGAUUGCCCAGCCUGCCAUUUUAGGACUUUAUUAUCAUGCUCUGCUUAGAUAUUUAAAAGGGUCUUCACUGAAUCAGCCUAAAGCUUCUGAAAAUCCCUACUAAUGAGUUACCACGUGGAACCUUCACAGAAUUCCUAAGCCUCAGUGUUCCAUAAUAGAGACAGGCAUAGAGGGAAGAAUGCUGACUUUGAAGCAAGAUGCACCGAAGUCAGCAUCUUAGCUCUGUCAUCUUGGACAUUCAUUUACUCCUUAAACAGUUUGCCCUCAUUUGCACAGAGCAAGGAAGCCUUCAAAGUAUUCAGCCAGUGCCGCGUUGUUAUCUGUUACCUGCUACAACCUUGAAAAUGAGGUGAGGUGAGGUGAGUGGAUUUCUCUAACUCUGGUCCAACCGAGUGGCUGGGACAAGCCACUGAUGACUCGUCACCUCAGUGACAGCCAGCAGAACUUAGCCAGCCUCCUAGAAUCUGAUGACCAAGUUGUGUCUCUUUGAACUUUGAUUUUCUUCUGGGUUCUCGAUCUAUUGGUAAUGGUGAGACGUGGUGAAAAGGGUUCUAAAAUUAGUCCAAGUCCCACUUUUUUCACUGAAAA
This is a long non-coding RNA of Macaca mulatta (Rhesus monkey), 4070 nucleotides long. RefSeq lists it as uncharacterized. The record is from RefSeq and is a predicted model, not a curated record. Lineage: Eukaryota; Metazoa; Chordata; Mammalia; Primates; Cercopithecidae.